RNAcentral lists this unclassified non-coding RNA (2345 nucleotides) under Leishmania donovani. RNAcentral describes it as "gene:LdHU3.20.1850(CDS-product:hypothetical_prote in_conserved)". Lineage: Eukaryota; Euglenozoa; Kinetoplastea; Trypanosomatida; Trypanosomatidae. The record is from RNAcentral.
AGGUGUCUUCGUUCCCCCUCUUUUACGUCAAGCACUUCUCUGCGUGACGGCCUCUCGCUCGAGUUGCAUGGGGCACUGGGCCAAACUUGUAGCCCCCCCUCCCCUCCUCUCUGCGCGCCGUCUUCUCUGCACGCGUGCGCCUACGUGUCGGGCGGUCCUCCGAGACGACACCGCCCUUCCCUCUCCCUUGCGGGGCCGACUGAGCGAGAAUAGCAGAAAGGCACGGGAACCUUUAGGCGAUGCUGCAUCGCUCUUUCUGGCGAUUGACAGCAGCGGCCGCUGCCAGCUCUGCCGCGAGUGGCGAGACGCUUGCGCCCUUCACUGCCCGCGUCGGGGCUCUGUGCAAGCAGAUGCGCGCAGCAGGCGCGGAGUUCGGCUGCGUUGCCGUGGACCCCAGCGAGGAGCAGUGCCGCGGCCUCGUAGCCAAGUGCGCCCUUCGGGAGGGCACCACUGUCAUGUCGGUUCCUCUCCAGUCGUGCGGCAUUUCCUCCGAGCAGCUCAUCAAGGACAACGCGUUUGUGCAGGCGAUGAAGCCCCCGAGCCUGAAUGUGGUGCGACACCUCAUGAACACCCGCAGCAUUCGCGAUCCGGUGAUGCACGAGCAGUUCUACCUGGCGCUUCUCAUUGCGGCCGACCACAUGAACCCCGCCAGCCCCCGCAGCGACUACUACAACCUCCUCCCGCACCCCGCCAUUGAUGACGCUCUGGUGAUUCAGCGCCACAAGGACGUUCUCGACCCGCUGCUGCUCGUGGAGUGGGACGACUAUCAGAAGGAGAUGCUCUCCGUCCUGCACCACCUGCUCCGGCGCUGGGGCUCGCCGUUGGCCCCGCCCAUCCAGGUGGCGUACUGGGCCCUGCGCACCGUGCUCAGCCGCAUGCACAUGCUGCCGAAGGCUGGUUUGGCACCACAGCAGGUGGGAUCCGCCCUCAGCUACACGGCACUGUACGCUGUCGAUCAAGCUGACCUGCAGACGCGAUGGCGGAGGCGAUUCAAGUCCAUUCUAAGCUCGCUGACUGGCAACCCAGCUGACGCCGAGGAGUACCACCUCGUCCCCACGCUAGUGCCACUGCUGGACAUGACCCCGCACAUCCCCUCCAGCAACGUGCAGGUGGAGGUGAACACGCGUGGCGCCGCCGUCGGCGGCUGUGCGGAGCUUCGCGCGGUGCGCGACAUCGACGCUGGAGAGACGAUUGGGCUGCGCUUCAACGCCUCCCAGGCGCCAGCGUUUCUGCUCUUCCGCUUUGGCUUCAUUCCGCAGUAGUGUGCGCGUGCGCCACGCCGACGUUGUCCUCUCCGUGCCGUGUGGCUGCUUGGUGUGGUUCGAUGCGCCGCUGCUGCCGCCGCCGCGCCUCUCUUGUACACCACUGCACUACACACCUCCUCCCACCCCGCCUCCAUUAUGUGUUUUGGCGCUCGUCAAGUCCGACGUGAGCGUUUCGUAGUUGUCGUUGGCUUGUUACUUGGAUGUCGCUGUCUUCUCACUCGCUCUUACACACUCAUCACAUAUACACACACGCGCCCCCUUGCCUCUCUGUUCGGACUGCGUCGCUUUUUCUUUGGGGGGGGAAGGGGGCGCUGAGCGGGUCUGUUCGUGCGACUCGCGACGGCCGCGCUGACUGCGAAUCCGACACAGAUGAAGGUAAACACGCAAUCCCCCCCCCUCCCCCCAAACAAAACCGAACGAUGCCGUCGUGGCGUGCCGUGUGCUCUGCUACACACACACACACACACACACACACACACGACAAGGACUUCCGGCGGCUCACCACCGCCGCCCUUGGCUUUCGGUUCCACGGCUUCUCUCGAACAGGCGACGCUGUUAGCUGUUCCCACACGCACGCUGACGGGCACGAGGGCGUGCAUCCAUCUCGCAUCCACCGCCACCGCCCCUCUUGAGUUCCUUUAGUAUACUCUCUCACUUCUCCUCGCGUGCCGUUCUCUCUUAUAGGCUUUGUGCCGUCGUCAGCGGUGGAGAUGGGCGUCGCACUCAGGCACAUACACACCGGCUCCCAUGGACAAUCCAGGCGCCCCUCUCUCUCUCACUUUCUGCGUUCUCCUCGUCGACACACACCCACCUUGCGGUCACCGCCGGUGAGGGAAAGAGAGGGGAAGGGGGUCACGGCUGCACUUCGUGACGCUCUCGCUCGCUCUGGGCGUUGCGGCUGUCGUUGUUUGCGUCUAUCCGUCCGCCCAUCUCAUCUCUACAUCCUCCUAUGGUGUGUGUAUGGGGGAGGGGAGGCGUGUGCCGGUGAGCAACGGAGCGCGCGUAGCGCGCGCGGUCGCCCAGGCUUGCUGUGUAAGCGGAUGAUGUCUCACGGCUUCAGGCACCUGCCUCGUACGCUCU